RNAcentral lists this ribosomal RNA (451 nucleotides) under Papiliotrema laurentii. Its description in RNAcentral is "eukaryotic LSU rRNA". It matches the Rfam family "Eukaryotic large subunit ribosomal RNA", at positions 136 to 595 of the family's 3401-position model. The record is from RNAcentral. Lineage: Eukaryota; Fungi; Basidiomycota; Tremellomycetes; Tremellales; Rhynchogastremaceae.
GUCCGAGUUGUAAUCUAUAGAGGCGUUUUCCGUGCCGGACCGUGUCCAAGUUCCUUGGAACAGGAUAUCAAAGAGGGUGACAAUCCCGUACUUGACACGACGACCGGUGCUCUGUGAUACGUCUUCUACGAGUCGAGUUGUUUGGGAAUGCAGCUCAAAAUGGGUGGUGAGUUCCAUCUAAAGCUAAAUAUUGGCGAGAGACCGAUAGCGAACAAGUACCGUGAGGGAAAGAUGAAAAGCACUUUGGAAAGAGAGUUAAACAGUACGUGAAAUUGUUGAAAGGGAAACGAUUGAAGUCAGUCGUGACCGAGAGGCUCAGCCGGUUCUGCCGGUGUAUUCCCCUCGGUCGGGUCAACAUCAGUUUUGUCCGGUGGAUAAGGGCGGUAGGAAGGUGGCACCCUCGGGUGUGUUAUAGCCUGCCGUCGCAUACAUCGGGUGAGACUGAGGAACG